Larimichthys crocea (large yellow croaker) is the source of this 1195-nucleotide long non-coding RNA. RefSeq lists it as uncharacterized. The transcript has 4 exons. Lineage: Eukaryota; Metazoa; Chordata; Actinopteri; Sciaenidae. The record is from RefSeq and is a predicted model, not a curated record.
AAUAAGUUUUUAUGGUGAACUCCUCUUCUGUUUGUUUUAUCUUUAAAUAAUGUAGGUGGACGGGGGACAGACACAGUCUCUAUACUAAAGGACUGGGUGGGCAACUGCUCUUACAAACCAGGUACCAUCAGCCAAUCAGCUUCACUCUCUGUUAAACAAACCAGGUACCAUCAGCCAAUCAGCUUCACUCUCUGUUAAACAAACCAGGUACCACCAGCCAAUCAGCUCAUUCGUUGCCUUCAUUCUGUCUUUUGUCUUUCAGAGAGCCAUCUUGUGAAGGAACACAGUGACUCACCUGGAGGGCGGGGCCCAGGUAAACAGGAAGAGGUCACAGCAGGUGCAGGAAGUGAUGUCAUUCCCCCUCAGGUCGCCGUGGCUGGACCUUCAGGCAUGUUACUGGUAUACGUGAUCAUUCCCACAAUCCCCCUGCUGCUGCUCAUCCUGGUGGCUUCUGGGACAUGUUGUUUUCAGAUGCUCAGUAGAAGUACUCCUCGUACCAAGACCGCUGUCGACCACUCGAACCUUUGGAUCUCCAGGACGCCCAAACCGGACACCAUGGAGGUCUGAGCCUGUGACAUCACAGUGACAUCACAGCAAAGAGAUGACAUCACUUCAUGGUUCAUCCAAUCAUCAUCUUGGUGUUGUGUUCAGGAGCAGGUGGAGCUUCGAGGAUGAUGAUGUCAUCAGUUCAUGUCAUGGACUUUACUGCAUUAGUUACUGAUUACUGCGUAUUUCUGCUCAGUUACUGCAGAUGUAGUACAGAGUACACACAGUACUGCUCAUGUCGUUCUGUACAGAUACAGUCUACACUUUACUUCCAUCUUUUAUUUUCUUCUUCACCUCCUCGUUUCCUUCCCUGUGCGCGUUUCUUUCUCUACUUCCUCCAUCCUUUCCUUCCUUCCUUCUCACCUUCUUCUGUUCUUUCCGUUUCCUCUUCCGUCGUUGUCUCUGUUUGAUGUUUAAUUGAUCGAGUGCCGUUAAUGAAGUGGCAGCGUUUAGCAGCUGAGGGGAAAUGAAGCGUCCCUGCGGAGGGGUGGAGACAGCAGGGGUGCGUUUGAUUUCAGAGUGAACUUAUGAAACGAUGUGUAAAAAGGAAGAAGAGAGAUUUGAAUAUGAAGAGAUGAAACCUCCAUUAUUAUCAUGUAAUCCGUCUAUCAACAUGUAAUCAGUCUGUUCAUAUGCUCACGUUAAUAAA